CAAAACACAUGACUAGAUCGCUAGCUUUAGCAUUAGGUCUGCCUUUGUGGAAGACCCUGGUCAUGAGCAAUGAGUGGACAGGCAGAUGUUCGAAAUGAAUUCAAUCGCACAAGCUGGAGCAGGCAAGGCCUGGCCGAUAUUAACGCCGACCAGAGAAGACAUAACACUGGACUCUUCCCUUCUCACAACCUGAACCACAAGAAAAGGGUGUUGUUUUUUGCCAGGGUAAACUCUGGCAACCG
Molecule: long non-coding RNA, 242 nt
Organism: Gadus chalcogrammus (walleye pollock)
Lineage: Eukaryota; Metazoa; Chordata; Actinopteri; Gadiformes; Gadidae
Exons: 3
Source: RefSeq, a predicted model, not a curated record